CAAACGACUCUCGGCAACGGAUAUCUCGGCUCACGCAUCGAUGAAGAACGUAGCAAAAUGCGAUACUUGGUGUGAAUUGCAGAAUCCCGUGAACCAUCGAGUUUUUGAACGCAAGUUGCACCCGAAGCCAUUCGGCUGAGGGCACGUCUGCCUGGGCGUCACGC
Molecule: ribosomal RNA, 164 nt
Filed under: Erigeron strigosus RDN-2005
Lineage: Eukaryota; Viridiplantae; Streptophyta; Magnoliopsida; Asterales; Asteraceae
Description: 5.8S ribosomal RNA
Rfam family: 5.8S ribosomal RNA
About the family: 5.8S ribosomal RNA (5.8S rRNA) is a component of the large subunit of the eukaryotic ribosome.
Source: RNAcentral